UGGUCCCAUGAUAAUGGAUUGUCAGAACUUAACAUUAGUGUCACUAAAGUUGGCAUACAGCCCUCCACUGCUAAAUUUGGCCAAAAAUAA
Unclassified non-coding RNA from Gorilla gorilla gorilla (western lowland gorilla), 90 nucleotides. It matches the Rfam family "Y RNA". From Rfam's summary of the family: Y RNAs are components of the Ro ribonucleoprotein particle (Ro RNP), in association with Ro60 and La proteins. The Y RNAs and Ro60 and La proteins are well conserved, but the function of the Ro RNP is not known. The record is from Ensembl. Lineage: Eukaryota; Metazoa; Chordata; Mammalia; Primates; Hominidae.